This 1146-nucleotide ribosomal RNA is filed under the name Pseudoxanthomonas sp. Ca7-1J04. Its description in RNAcentral is "bacterial SSU rRNA". It matches the Rfam family "Bacterial small subunit ribosomal RNA", at positions 35 to 1175 of the family's 1533-position model. Lineage: Bacteria; Pseudomonadati; Pseudomonadota; Gammaproteobacteria; Lysobacterales; Lysobacteraceae. The record is from RNAcentral.
GCUUGGGGCGGUCUACAAUGCAAGUCGAGCGGCCGCGGGUAGGAAUCUUGCUUCCUAUGCCGGCGAGUGGCGGACGGGUGAGGAACACAUCGCAAUCUACUCCGACGGGGGGGAUAACGUAGGGAAACUUACGCUAAUACCGCAUACUACCUACCGGUGAAAGUGGGGGACCGCAAGGCCUCACGCGAUGGAAUGAGCCGAUGUCCGAUUAGCUAGUUGGCGGGGUAAAAGCCCACCAAGGCGACGAUCGGUAGCUGGUCUGAGAGGAUGAUCAGCCACACUGGGACUGAAACUCAGCCCAGACUCCUACUGGAGGCAGCAGUGGGGAAUAUUGGACAAUGGGCGAAAGCCUGAUCCAGCCAUGCCGCGUGGGUGAAAAAGGCCUUCGGGUUGUAAAGCCCUUUUGUUGGGGAAGAAAUCCUGCUGGCUAAUACCCGGCGGGGAUGACGGUACCCAAAGAAUAACCACCGGCUAACUUCGUGCCAGCAGCCGCGGUAAUACGAAGGGUGCAAGCGUUACUCGGAAUUACUGGGCGUAAAGCGUGCGUAGGUGGUGGCUUAUUUCCGUUGUGAAAGCCCUGGGCUCAACCUGGGAAUUGCAGUGGAUACUGGGUCACUAGAGUGUGGUAGAGGGUGGCGGAAUUCCCGGUGUAGUGUUGAAAUGCGUAGAGAUCGGGAGGAACACCCGUGGCGAGGGCGGCCACCUGGUCCAACACUGACACUGAGGCACGAAAGCGUGGCGAGCAAACAGGAUUAGAUACCCUGCUAGUCCACGCCCUAAACGAUGCGAACUGUAUGUUGGGUUCAAUUUGGGACUCACUAUCGAAGCUAACGCGUUAAGUUCGCCGCUUGGGGAGUACGGUCGCAAGACUGAGACUCAAAUGAAUUGACGUGAGCCCGCACCAGCGGUGGAGUAUGUGGUUUAGUUUGAUGCAACGCAAGAACUUACCUGAUCUUGACAUGCCCUGCUCUGCCCAUAGAUGGGCGGGUGCCUUCCGGAGCCGCGGAGACAGUGCUGCAUGGCUGUCGUCGCUCCUGCCUGGAGAUGUUGAUUUAGUCCUGCAACCAGCGCACCUUGUCCUUAGUGCCAGUCGUACUGUGGGUACGUCUACGAAUCUGACUGUUGACUACCGGACGGAUGAAGUAU